UUCCUCGUCUGCCGUCUUGUAUUUGAGUCCUCACCUUUUCCCCACCGACACAGUACGAUCUAACCAGAAACAUGGACUCAGCAGAUGUCAUGGACGAGGAGACCUAUGAUUUAAUGUACACUUUAAUUAUAAUGUUUGGUGAGUGGAUGCUAAACCCCUGUUGGAGGAUGCGACAGGCUGCGCCUGGAUUGGUGAGAAAAGAGGUGGCUAAGAAGCCAGAGUUGAAGAGCCUUUUACCUGAGUGGCUUCAGGAUUUUGUGGACACUCCUUGCCAGCCUAACCCUGCCGAUCCUUCCACUCAACUUCCUUUUGCCGAGCUGCGGCAACCCCCUUCUCCAGUCGCGCUGCGGCAACCUCCUACUACUGUUGGGCUGCACCAGACCCCAGUCCCUGAGCCAUUUCUUGGCACUCGCCUGGCCCUGGGAGGUCCUCGGAGUCUCCAGGGGACUUCCAGGUCUCGGCGCAAGAGACCCAGACCACGACAGCUUCCGGUUUCUGCUGCCGGGCCGCGACAGCCCCCGUUUCCGCUGCUGUGCCGCGACAGACUCCCGUUCCCGCUGCCGGACCUCCGCAGACUCCCGUUCCCGCUGCCGGACCUCCGCAGACUCCCGUUCCCGCUGCCGGACCUCCGCAGACUCCCGUUCCCGCUGCCGGACCUCCGCAGACUCCCGCUGCCGGACCUCCGCAGACCCCCGCCCCCGCUGCCGAAUCUCUGCAGACAUCCGCUCCAGCUGAUGCCGGACCGCUGCAGACCCCAGCUGUUCCCCAGCUGCCCCUCGUGACCCCAGCCCCUGUGCUCCCUCCGUCCCUCGUGACUCCAUCCCCUGUGCUCCCUUCGUCCCCCUCCCCCCUCCGUCCCCCUCCGUCCCCCUCCCCCCUCCGCUCCCCUCUCUUCCCGGGACCCCUUCGCUCCGCUCUCCUCUCCAGACCCUAGUGCUUUCUCCAUCCCGGACUCCAGAGCAGCUCCACCCACCACCAGCCCGGCCUCCUGCCCAGCCCUCCUUGUUUGCACCUUGAUCCUGGUUUGUCUUUUCACUUGACUUUUUACCUUUUUGUAUAAUUUGAAUAAAAC
RNAcentral lists this long non-coding RNA (1072 nucleotides) under Cottoperca gobio. RNAcentral's name for it is "lncRNA (ENSCGOG00000010436.1)". The record is from RNAcentral. Lineage: Eukaryota; Metazoa; Chordata; Actinopteri; Perciformes; Bovichtidae.